RNAcentral lists this ribosomal RNA (406 nucleotides) under uncultured bacterium. RNAcentral's name for it is "partial 16S ribosomal RNA". It matches the Rfam family "Bacterial small subunit ribosomal RNA", at positions 28 to 526 of the family's 1533-position model. The record is from RNAcentral.
GAUGAACGCUAGCUACAGGCUUAACACAUGCAAGUCGAGGGACCGGCGCACGGGUGAGUUACACGUACCCAACUUCCCCUUUACUCGGGGGUAGCCUUUCGAAAGAAAGACUAAUACCCGAUAUAAAAGAUGGGGAUGCGUUCCAUUAGGUUGUUGGUGAGGUAACGGCUAACAAAGCCCUCGAUGGGUAGGGGUUCUGAGAGGAAGGACCCCCACAUUGGAACUGAGACACGAUCCAGACUCCGACGCGAGGCAGCAGUGAGGAAGAUUGGUCAAUGGGCGGUAGCCUGAACCAGCCAAGUAGCGUGAAGGAUGAAGGCUUAUGGGUCGUAAACUUCUUUUAUAGAAGAAUAUGUAUUAUAUGAAUAAGGAUCGGCUAACUCCGUGCCAGCAGCCGCGGUAAUUC